ACGGCCGUACCAUGCUGAAUAUACCGGUUCUCGUUAGAUCACCGAAGUCAAGCAUCACUGGGCGCGGUCAGUACUUGGGUGGGUGACCACCUGGGAACACUGCGUGCCGUU
Molecule: ribosomal RNA, 111 nt
Filed under: Caerostris darwini
Lineage: Eukaryota; Metazoa; Arthropoda; Arachnida; Araneae; Araneidae
Source: RNAcentral